RNA transcript from Saccostrea cuccullata (small rock oyster), 2992 nucleotides. RefSeq lists it as uncharacterized. The transcript has 6 exons. Lineage: Eukaryota; Metazoa; Mollusca; Bivalvia; Ostreida; Ostreidae. The record is from RefSeq and is a predicted model, not a curated record.
AUUGCAUGCUAUGCACGACUAAAGCUUUGGGUUUGUGUCUGUGAUUUUUUUCUUCAUUAUUAUGAAUCCAAUACGCAGUCCAUCAUGUCUUAUUCUUGUGUUUGUGUUUGCUUAUCAAGUAAUUGGUCAAGAUGUCCAAAAAACCAUCGUUGGCUGCAUAAGUGACAAUGUCACGUUGUCCUUUGAUUUACCUGAGAAGAAGGACCGUACUGUGGAAAGCUAUAUUUGGUACAAACAGGAUGUUUCAGGGGAUCCCAGCUUCGCCAAAUACACUGUAGCUGAAAACAAGUUUGAAAUCUUCAGAGAUGCCCAAGAUCGUGUCCUCCACAAUCAUAAAGAUUCAUCACAGCUAAGAAAUUUAGUUUUACUGAAUGUGAAGAAAAGUGAUGAGUCAAAAUAUGUAGUUGUAAUUAAUUAUGUCAACGUCACACAACACACAUCGGAGUAUCUCUUACGAUUGUCAGUAAAAGGUGUUUGCUUUGGAAAACCCGAACAAAUAGAGGGAUGCGCAGUAUCAACAUGUUUUACAGGAGAGAACGGAAUGAUUUACGAUGACCAGGCAGGCGAGACACAAACCGUGAAUGGUUACACAGUGGUAAGAAACUGUACAAGUGGUGUCUCUAUUGGCUACUCCUGCUGUAAUGCAGCCGGAGACUGUGAGCAACAAAUGCUCAUAGUACCCGAAGGUACGUUCAUUAUUGUAUUUUAUUUGAAACAUAGCUUUGGGACUUUGGUUGCAAUUGAUUAAAGAUCCACUUAGAUUUUUUUCAUGUAAUCUUAUUCAACAUGAAGUGGACUAUUAGUCAAACGAGAGUAAUAUGCUUUGUUUUAUUUUUUCAUUCCUAUAGAAUUUCACCAUCUACUAAAAAAUGACCAAUAUUUAUGCUAAAAUUCAUGGCUAAAAUUUAUGAGUGCUAUAUUUAUAUGCAGUAAAUAGUACUGUGCGAGUAUGAGACACGAACUGAACUCAUAGCUGAAGAAAUUGCGCUCAUAGUCACAGUGAGUGCUAGUUCAAAGUAGGAGAAAAACAGAAAGUAUUCAAAUAUAUAUAUAUAUAUACAUGUAGACACUUGUAUUUUAAAAAUACUUAAAAACAAAUGAUAUAAUUUAAUGGCAAAACCUCUAUGGGUAUAUUUGUCAUUCGAUAACAUGCUGCCAAUUUUAGAAGAAAAAAAAUUAUUUAGAGAAUGUAUUUUUGAGGAAAAUUAUUUUAAAAAUUAAAAUCACACGUGAAGAAGCGGAGACAUAUAUGCUUUUGAAGAAACUACAUUGAUAGAAAGAUAACAAAGGGUUAUUGUGAGUAUUUUUACGCAUGUCUGUACAUGUACUACUCUUUUUUAAAUAUAUGUCAGAUAUGUAUAUAAUAUUGUUACCCUUGCAUGAAAGACGCUAUUUCUUUCCAUGGUUCAAAUUAUUUAUAAAGAUGUUUAAUAAAAGUACCUGCAUUGUUGGUUAGAGUCAUCAAAUCACUUUUCUUAUUCGCUUUAAAACAAAUCUAAAAAUUGUUAACUUUAAUCCAAAUUUUGCAAACCCAUUCAAAUUGAGUAAUACAUAGCAUUUUUUGUUACGAUGAAAAAAGUGAAGGUUACGAUACGUCUCCUAUAAUAAACUGCAUACUGCGAAAGUGAUAAAUAAUUUUGUUAUUGAAAGCUUUUGUUUUUUUUUGCAUUUUUGAACCAUUGCUGUUUGCCCAAUUUAAAGAUUCGAUAUGUAAGUAUCAUUUUCUAUGCGUUAAUUACCAUCACUUUCAUUUUUCAAAAUUUUGAUAAUUCUGUUUCAGCUUAAAAUUGGGGCUCUUCACAUGGAACUGGAGUUAGUCUGGUAUUUGGAGCUUUGAUAGGAAUUGAACUUAUCGUUAUCACUACGUGUCCUUAGUGACACAGAAGUAAAUAAAGUUUUGAGGAAAAUGCUGACAGAGAGGAGUUUAUUCAGGAAAAAUGGUGGAAAUUAAAAAGACAUUGCGGAACACAACACAAUUACGUAAUACGGCAAAUGAAAUUCAGCAAGCAGCAUUUGCAGAAUCGAGAAAGAUUGGUAUUGAAGCCUCGGUAAACCGUGAAGCAAACUUGACUGCAGCAUACAAUUCUGCUCUGUCGGCCAUGUUUACGAGGUUAAAUGUCACGGAGGGGGAGCAUAAGCUGUCAAUCAUGAUGAUUCGAGCUCUGGAGGAUGUGGCAGUUAAGGGUAACCUGUACAGGACUUAUGGGUACGACAAUGGUACCAUGUCACUGUAUACAAAGAGUAUGUCCAUAGGAUAGGACUCGAAGAGAAUAUUUUUUCUUCUCUCUGCUCAGCUUUACUUACAAUAACUGAACAUAUUUAUACCUCAACCAUUAUUAACAAUUUGAAAAAAAUGAUAGUUUUAAUAUAAUUGUUUUUUCCUUGUUUUGUUUUUUGUACAAUAUACAUAUCAAGUGUCUAUUAUUUAUUUCCCAAUUUUCUCUUGUUCUGAUGAUUUGUGCUUCGUGUUUAAUUUUUAAUAGCAUUGUAAAUUUUUACUCAUCUGUUGUACAGAUGUAUGUAUGAUCCCAGAGUUCCAGGGAACCUAGUAUAAAUCGUGUAUUUUGUUUGUCAGGAAUUUAAUUAUCAUUUUAUUUAUCUGUCUCUCUGUAAUGAUUUAAGAUUUAUUCCAUUUUAUAUCUCUGACAUUUUUAAAGACAAACUAUUUAUAUAUGUGAAAAAUCCAGAUAGGAGAUUUGCAUGCUCAACACUUCUAAAGCCUGGAUUGUGCAGCAUAAUAUUUUACUAAGUAGCGGGUAGUUUGUUGAGACUUCUUUGUGUUUAUUGUCAUCUCUGUUAUAGCCAUAUAAAAUAGUUUUUAUCAGGUUUUUUUUUAUGUUUUCUUAACUUUCUGUAAGAGAUAAAACAAAAUUAUUAUGGUGCUAUGCAUUCAUACUUGUUAGUGCUUUGAGGUAUACACUUCAUUGAUGCCUUAUAAAAUUCAAUACAUGUAUUUUCAUGGAUCCUAUGUUUAUGAAAAUAAAGUUAUUUA